This 372-nucleotide ribosomal RNA is filed under the name uncultured organism. RNAcentral describes it as "bacterial SSU rRNA". It matches the Rfam family "Bacterial small subunit ribosomal RNA", at positions 526 to 896 of the family's 1533-position model. The record is from RNAcentral.
CGUAGGGGGCAAGCGUUGUCCGGAAUUAUUGGGCGUAAAGGGCGCGUAGGCGGAUAGUUAAGUCCGGUGUGAAAGAUCAGGGCUCAACCCUGAGAGUGCAUCGGAAACUGGUUAUCUUGAGGACAGGAGAGGAAAGUGGAAUUCCACGUGUAGCGGUGAAAUGCGUAGAUAUGUGGAGGAACACCAGUGGCGAAGGCGACUUUCUGGACUGUAACUGACGCUGAGGCGCGAAAGCGUGGGGAGCAAACAGGAUUAGAUACCCUGGUAGUCCACGCUGUAAACGAUGAGUGCUAGGUGUAGAGGGUAUCGACCCCUUCUGUGCCGCAGUUAACACAAUAAGCAAUCCGCCUGGGGAGUACGGUCGCAAGGCUG